This 117-nucleotide ribosomal RNA is filed under the name Bacillus cereus. RNAcentral's name for it is "partial 16S ribosomal RNA". It matches the Rfam family "Bacterial small subunit ribosomal RNA", at positions 1 to 110 of the family's 1533-position model. Lineage: Bacteria; Bacillati; Bacillota; Bacilli; Caryophanales; Bacillaceae. The record is from RNAcentral.
CUUUAUUGGAGAGUUUGAUCCUGGCUCAGGAUGAACGCUGGCGGCGUGCCUAAUACAUGCAAGUCGAGCGAAUGGAUUAAGAGCUUGCUCUUAUGAAGUUAGCGGCGGACGGGUGAG